CAUAAUCUUGCAAAAUAAUUCCUGUAAGGAGGACACAGUCAUGUAGGUAAAUGUGUCUAAGAGAAGACCUGAAAACCCACUUUAUCACUGGGAUCACAGGUAUCUUUUGGAAGGGGAGAAAGAAAAAAUAAACAGAAAGCUUCUUCCAUCAGCCAAAAGAAGUUUAAAACGAUGGAAUGCACUUAACUUGGGAAUGCACUUGAGUUAACCUUAAGAAUUCAGGAAAGAACUAUGUGCAGAGUGCACACAGCCCUGAAGACACCCAGGCAAAGUGCACCGGUCCAAGAGUGGAUUCCACAUCAGCAAGCACAAAGCAGCUGAACCGAGCACUGUGACAAGCCGUGACUCACAGCCACACACCCUCACGUCCAGCCAGCUUCCCACCCUUCAUCCCCAUCACAGGGCAGGACACCCGCAGCAGCCUCAGCGUCACUGAACAACUCCAAGUCUGAACCCAUUCCUCCUUGUCCUAUCACUACAGUGCCUGACGAAGGGUCCUUCUCUGGCUUCUCUGUAGCUCCUUCAGAUACUGUACUGCAAGAGUGCACAUCACCUUACAAACACAGAGAAGAUGACACAGGCCUGCCCCAAGGAGUUUACAAUUCCACUUCGGCAAACGCUACAAAAAAAUUCAGUGGACAGGAAAAGGUGGGAGAGGUAAAAGCUCCCUCUGUGCCCACCAGGACAUGAGCUCUCCUCACAGCUGACCAGCAGCUUCUGACAUUAAGCACACACAUUCACCAGAUCAUCAGAUGAAACUGGAUUUGAAGAUAUCCCUAAUAAAGGGCAGGAUCUGGGAAUUGCA
RNAcentral lists this long non-coding RNA (805 nucleotides) under Junco hyemalis (dark-eyed junco). Its description in RNAcentral is "lncRNA (ENSJHYG00000008900.1)". The record is from RNAcentral. Lineage: Eukaryota; Metazoa; Chordata; Aves; Passeriformes; Passerellidae.